GAUGAACGCUGGCGGCGUGCCUAAUACAAGCAAGUCGAGCGAACGGACGAGAAGCUUGCUUCUCUGAUGUUAGCGGCGGACGGGUGAGUAACACGUGGAUAACCUACCUAUAAGACUGGGAUAACUUCGGGAAACCGGAGCUAAUACCGGAUAAUAUUUUGAACCGCAUGGUUCAAAAGUGAAAGACGGUCUUGCUGUCACUUAUAGAUGGAUCCGCGCUGCAUUAGCUAGUUGGUAAGGUAACGGCUUACCAAGGCAACGAUGCAUAGCCGACCUGAGAGGGUGAUCGGCCACACUGGAACUGAGACACGGUCCAGACUCCUACGGGAGGCAGCAGUAGGGAAUCUUCCGCAAUGGGCGAAAGCCUGACGGAGCAACGCCGCGUGAGUGAUGAAGGUCUUCGGAUCGUAAAACUCUGUUAUUAGGGAAGAACAUAUGUGUAAGUAACUGUGCACAUCUUGACGGUACCUAAUCAGAAAGCCACGGCUAACUACGUGCCAGCAGCCGCGGUAAUACGUAGGUGGCAAGCGUUAUCCGGAAUUAUUGGGCGUAAAGCGCGCGUAGGCGGUUUUUUAAGUCUGAUGUGAAAGCCCACGGCUCAACCGUGGAGGGUCAUUGGAAACUGGAAAACUUGAGUGCAGAAGAGGAAAGUGGAAUUCCAUGUGUAGCGGUGAAAUGCGCAGAGAUAUGGAGGAACACCAGUGGCGAAGGCGACUUUCUGGUCUGUAACUGACGCUGAUGUGCGAAAGCGUGGGGAUCAAACAGGAUUAGAUACCCUGGUAGUCCACGCCGUAAACGAUGAGUGCUAAGUGUUAGGGGGUUUCCGCCCCUUAGUGCUGCAGCUAACGCAUUAAGCACUCCGCCUGGGGAGUACGACCGCAAGGUUGAAACUCAAAGGAAUUGACGGGGACCCGCACAAGCGGUGGAGCAUGUGGUUUAAUUCGAAGCAACGCGAAGAACCUUACCAAAUCUUGACAUCCUUUGACAACUCUAGAGAUAGAGCUUUCCCCUUCGGGGGACAAAGUGACAGGUGGUGCAUGGUUGUCGUCAGCUCGUGUCGUGAGAUGUUGGGUUAAGUCCCGCAACGAGCGCAACCCUUAAGCUUAGUUGCCAUCAUUAAGUUGGGCACUCUAAGUUGACUGCCGGUGACAAACCGGAGGAAGGUGGGGAUGACGUCAAAUCAUCAUGCCCCUUAUGAUUUGGGCUACACACGUGCUACAAUGGACAAUACAAAGGGCAGCGAAACCGCGAGGUCAAGCAAAUCCCAUAAAGUUGUUCUCAGUUCGGAUUGUAGUCUGCAACUCGACUACAUGAAGCUGGAAUCGCUAGUAAUCGUAGAUCAGCAUGCUACGGUGAAUACGUUCCCGGGUCU
Molecule: ribosomal RNA, 1372 nt
Filed under: uncultured bacterium
Lineage: Bacteria
Description: bacterial SSU rRNA
Rfam family: Bacterial small subunit ribosomal RNA
Source: RNAcentral